GACGAACGCUGGCGGCGUGCUUAACACAUGCAAGUCGAACGGUAAGGCCCUUCGGGGUACACGAGUGGCGAACGGGUGUGUAACACGUGGGUGAUCUGCCCUGCACUUCGGGAUAAGCCUGGGAAACUGGGUCUAAUACCGGAUAGGACCACUGCCUGCAUGGGUGGUGGUGGAAAGCUUUUGCGGUGUGGGAUGGGCCCGCGGCCUAUCAGCUUGUUGGUGGGGUGAUGGCCUACCAAGGCGACGACGGGUAGCCGGCCGGAGAGGGUGACCGGCCGCACUGGGACUGGGAUACGGCCCAGACUCCUACGGGAGGCAGCAGUGGGGAAUAUUGCACAAUGGGCGCAAGCCUGAUGCAGCGACGCCGCGUGAGGGAUGACGGCCUUCGGGUUGUAAACCUCUUUCAGCACCGACGAAGCGCAAGUGACGGUAGGUGCAGAAGAAGGACCGGCCAACUACGUGCCAGCCGCCGCCGUAA
This 478-nucleotide ribosomal RNA is filed under the name uncultured bacterium. RNAcentral's name for it is "partial 16S ribosomal RNA". It matches the Rfam family "Bacterial small subunit ribosomal RNA", at positions 28 to 523 of the family's 1533-position model. The record is from RNAcentral.